This 14634-nucleotide long non-coding RNA is filed under the name Capsicum annuum. Its description in RNAcentral is "long non-coding RNA (CANN_LNC000760)". The record is from RNAcentral. Lineage: Eukaryota; Viridiplantae; Streptophyta; Magnoliopsida; Solanales; Solanaceae.
CCACCUUCAUUAAAAUUAGGCAUUAUCCCAUUAGAAAUCAAUGUAAAUUCUUCGAUGAACAAAGUAAUUGGGUUUGUUCUGGAUGUUUUUUUAUCAUACUUCGAUCGAAAUAUUAGAGUGGCCCUGAUAGUCGUACAAGAGUCGCAGAUCCAGACAUACAAAGGAUGGAAAAGAACGAAGCAAAGGAGAUAAAUGAAUACCCAAUUAAUCAUAUAACAGACUCAUGUUUACCACCAUUUGAUACAUAAGGUCAGAUUUUAUUUCUUUUGUUACAUUUUUAUUUUCUAUUUAAUACAUAUUGUGCUUGUAUUAGAGCUAUUUUUUUUCGAUACAUUUUGAUGAUAUAGAAAGGAUAUAGUGAGUUGAUACAUUUUAGUUGUGAAACUAUGUUAUAUUUCUUUCAUUCAUGAUAUCAUUUUUUGAUACAUUCAUUGUCAUUCGAUACAUUUUCAAUUGAUACAUAUGAAAUUUAGUUAAUUCUGUGAUACAUUUUAUAUGUGCACCUAUUGGUACAUUAUUGCCGGUGAGAAACAAUAUGUGUAAUACUAAUAAAAUUUUGUUGAUGCAUUUUAUAUAUGUAUCAGUUUUUUUAUAUUUACUGCUUAUCAAACAUUUAUUUCAUACCGACCAGAAAACACUAAAUCCACCACCCAACACAAUUUCAGUGAAAUCAGAAUCAUUUAUUCUUCUGACGAAAUUAAAAUCGCCGAACAACCAUAAUUCCAAUGAAAUUUGAAUCGUCAAUAUUGUUGUUCUUUUAAAUUUAAAUAUUAGAAAGUUAAAACUCAAGGGAAAAAGAAGAAAAGAUUAAUAGAGAGGGAAUAAAUUAAGUCAAAUUGUAAAUUCCAAACUGUAGAAAUCGUUUGUCAUCUAGUUUAUUGAAUCGAAAAAAUCAACCGCAGGAAUUUCCCAUUUUAAGUGUUGAAAAAAAAUAAAAAUUGAAGGUAGCGGCGGCAAUAAGUUGCUGGCCGGAAAUUAAAAUUGAGAGAGUAUUUUGUUGAUUGUUAAUAAUGUUAGUUGGGGGAGAAGGUCUAAUAAAGGAGCUCAAAUCGUUUUAACAUGAUACUCCUCUAAAUAAAUGUGAUUUAUGUUAUUUCUUUAUUUGAGUUAUUGAUUAUUUGAAAAUGUAUCCAAACAAAUAUGUAUCACUAUUAAAAAUAUCUAUAUAAAAACCCCAUUUAUGAAAUUUUAUGUAAUUAGGAAAAGUUGUGGUAAGAUUUGCAAUUGACUCCUUAUAUUAUGAGAUUUCUGUAAGUUACUUUUUUUUUUUUUAAUCUCGAUUAUCUUGUUACUUUCUAUGCUUUAAUUUAUUUGUAUGGUAUUAACUUAGACACAAAAUAUAAGAAAAUAAAAUAAAUUCAGGCGCUUCAUCUUUCUUUACUUUAUGAAAAUACAUUGGAUAUGUUGUUGAAUUUUGCGAUCUUAAGUUAAGGCUAUGUAGAAUGUUACAAAUAUUUUAUAACUUUGUGAUUUUGAACAUGUUAUGUGACAAAUUAAAAUUAGAAAGUUGUCAAAAUAAAAAAAAAAGGAGGCAAGUCUUUUGAGAAAAUCUAUCAAAAGAAAAAAGAGUAAGACAAAUAAGUUAAAAUGAAGGACGUACUUUGCUAUUAUUUCUUGAUGUUAUCGUGACUUUCCUUCUUUUUUUGAGUCGAACGUUUAUGGAAGAAAUCUUUUUACCUUAAGGCAGACAAAAGAUCUGCAUACAAAUUAUCCUUCUCUGAUUUUAAUUGUGAGUUGUGGGAUUUCAAUGAGUUUGUCGUUGUUAGAAUUUUAAUUUUAAGUUUGAGGUUUCCAAUUCUCUAAAAUUUAAAUUUAAUCCAUAAUUUUAAUUUUUUUUUUUAAAAAAACGCAUUAUCAAUAUAAACAUAAUUUCUCAAGCCUAGUAUAGUUUUUACUUGACCAAUUUAUAUUUAUAAAAAAUAGAGAAAAGACAUGAAAUCACCUUUAAACUUAUCCCUACCACCUUUAACUUCAUGGACAAUUAUUUAUCCCCUUUUAACAACUUUAUAGUAAAUUAAAUACCACCUUAAUAAUAUAAUACCAUUCUCACAAAGAUAUGUGCAUUACAUACGCACCUCGUCACUGUCAUGUCACUGUCACGGCAAAAAUUAAUUUUAAAAAAUGGUACCACUAUUAUAUAUAUAUAUAUAUAUAUAUGUAUGUAUAUAUAUGUGUGUGUGUGUGUGUAUGUAUGUAUGUAUGUAUAUAAGCCCUUCAUUAAAAUACUCCAUAAUAGACAAAAUCAUCUUUUCACUAUUUGUUUAAAUUAUUAUUUAACUAUUUUAAUAAUAUUAACUAUAAUAUUGAAUCCUAAAAUAUAUAUGAAAAGAAAAAAUUAAGAGUCCCAAAAUAUAUGGUAACAAACAAAUAUUAGGGUAAGAAGAAUUAAAAAAUAAAAAUACUAAACUCCUAAGAUUUAGGAACCAUACGUGUGUAUGACUUUAAUUUUUUUUUUUUUAAAUAAGACAAUGAAACCUAUUUUUUUCUUGAAUAAAAAGCAAAACAAAAGUCUAAAAGAACUAUAAACAAUGUACAGUAAAUGUCUAUUUGUAGUAGUUUAUUAUUUUUGAAAUUUUUAUUCUUCUAAAGUGGUACUUAUUUAUGGAAAAAAAUAUAAAUUUACUAUAUUUAGAUAAUUUCUUUGAAAAUGUUUUAGACUUCUAUAAAUUGAGAAUUCUUUUACAACAAUACAAUAACAUCUUCAAUGAACAUGUGAAAAAUAAAAAAAUAACUUUUGUUCUUAGAUUAUUCUUUAUUGUUUGCUUUAGAAUUAUUUAUUAAAUCAAGAAAUAUGUUUGUUAUAUUUAAUUUACUUUAAGGUGCAUUGAUUUUGUAGGUAUCUUGAUGAUCCGAAUUUUGAAAGGUGAUUAAUUUCGCGUGAUAAUUUUUAGUUUGAAUGAUAUAAAUUAUUGUAGCUAUUCAUUCUUAUUUUUUUCAUUUAACAAUCUUUUCUUUAUCUCCUUUUAUGAUAUGAUAUGUAGUUUAUCAAAUUUUUCGAUAAAGAAAAAAUUAGUAUGGUGAAAAGCAUAAUUAAAUCUGCCCAUAGAAAUAAUGGACAAAGAGACACAACAGGAGACAAAGAAGAGAACAAGCGAACGUUUCUCCAAAAGUAUUCACAAUAUGAAAGAGUUGAUAAACGUUUCUCAAAAGUAUUCAUGAAUGAAGUAAAAGUUCAAUGUAUAGUACAAUUCCGAGUCUAUUUGAAUCUAUUUAGCAAGACAUACAAAGCAUGAGGUUUGGCUAAAUUGAACUCACCUUUUGAGAUUAUUUUUUUUAGUAAUAUUUUAAAAGGUGAAAUUGAGAAUAUUCAUUAUUAUAUGAGAAUAAUUUCUCUUUUGGUUAUUUUUUUUCAUCUUAUAUAUAUANNNNNNNNNNNNNNNNNNNNNNNNNNNNNNNNNNNNNNNNNNNNNUUUAUAUAUAUAUAUAUAUUUAACAUUACUUGAAUUAAGAAGUAGUGGUUGAUAGAUGUUGUCACCAAGGUAAGUUAAAGAUGUUAGGCAUUAUGCUUCUGUUCUGUUAAAUAUGUGUUAGAAUUUCUUCAAAAGUAUUCACAGUACGGAAGAGUUCAUAAACUUUUCUUCAAAAGUAUUCAUGAAUGAAGUAAAAAUUCAAAGUACAGUACAAUUCUUGGGGUCUAUUUGGCAAGACAUACGAAGCACGGGGUUGGCUAAAUUAAACUACAUCUACAAUAUAUCAAAUUCAUUAACCACUUGAAACUUCUGGUGAUAAAAUAUAUCUAUAUGUGCUUACAAUAAAAUAUAUGUUUUGAACUUUUUGCACCUCAUUAAAAACCUUCAUAUUAGAUAAAAUCGUUUAAUUUUAAAUAUUUUAAAGUUACACGUGCGACUAAACUAGUAUAUAUAUAUAUAUAUUAUAAUAAUAAUAAUAAUAAUAAUAAUAAUAAAAAUAAAAAAAAAAACUCACUUUCUUCUUCACACCCCUUCCCCUAUUACCACUCAUCCCACACCAUUCCACCCACUGUAACAACACAAAGAAUUUCACCAUUAACACAAAAGAUUCUCACCCUUCACCCAUUACAUAGAAAUAAUAGUCAUACCUGCACAUUAACAAACUCAUUUUGAUUUUUUUCUCUUGAACGAUAAUUUAUAUAGAGAAGAAAACAAUCGAUCAAUUUAUCUCCUCCAUCGAAGAUUAGGCUCAUUCAACUCACCAUUCACUACUAAAAAAAAGGGGAAACCGACCAAAUGUGGUCAGUUUUCUCCAAUUUUUGACCACAAAACCGAUCAAAAUGUGUGGUCGGUAAAGUAGUGGUAGUUUUUUAAAAUUCAUUAUUAUUUUAUUAAAAUUAGAAAAAAUAAUUUUUUUAAAAAAUCGACCACAAGUGAUCGGUUUUCUGGAAAAAAGAAUUCAAAAACCGACCACUUGUGGUCGGUUUUUCUGGAAAAUUUUAAAAAAAUAAAAAUCAAAACUCAAAUACAGCAUGCAACAAAAACAAUCCAAUACAGCAGAAACCAAAUCCAAUACAGCAGCAACAACAACCAAAAACUAAAUGUAAAUACUUUCAAAACUGUACAACACAUACAAAAUGUCCAACAAAAGUUAGUAUGAAAAAACUACAACAAUAGUUUCAAACAACAAAAUGUCUAAAUUCAAAGUAGAACACAUACAAAAAUAAAAAAACUAAAAGUUAUUGUCAUUGAAUUCGUCCUCGUCUUCCAUAUCAUCAUCCGUGCUAAAAUCAUCCAGAGGGAUAGACCUUUUGCAGUCCGAACUGCAUCACCAGGACACGGAGGAAUAACCCCUGCAGUCUGAAUGAAAGAGCUGAACUACUGCUGCAACAUCUUGAUUUGUGAUGUUGUUGUCUUCUCCGUCUUCUUCUGCCCCUCUCUCUGUUCAGCAAACCCCUCUCUCUGUUCAGCAAGCUCUUCAGUGAGUUGAGAAACUAUGUUUUAUAGUCUUUCAAUGGUUUCUCUAUCAACUGAAGAGCUAGAGUAUGCAGCACUGGACGAACACCUAAUAUUAUCGUCAAACAAUUUUGUGUGGUAUCCGUAGAAAUGACCUCUAUUUGCUCGCAGCUUUUGUCCAUAACUUCUCCUGUACAUGUUGUGGUAUUGGGUCACCCUGACUUUCAGGAGGCUGACUACUACAAUACUCACCAAUAAGACGCGUAUAUUCAUCCUAUAUUCAAAGUAAAGUUAAUACUAAAAGUCAAAAAAUAUUAAAGUAGUUAUAAUUGAAUAAUAUCAACUUUGAGAAAAAGAUUCAUAAAUUCAAAAAAAAAUUCUUACGUGGACAACUUUUGCACUAGCUUCAACCCAGACAUCUUCAUCAGUCGGGUUCUUUUUUUUCAGAUGAGUUUGCUCGAAUAGCUCAUUAGUUGGUAUUUCCCUACCCUUUUCUUUUUCCUGCAUAUGAAAACAUUAUCAAUGUUCAAAUAAUAAAAAAUUUAAAUAGAAAUAAAUAAUUUAAACUGUAAAAGUUACAUACCAUUUUUCCUUCACAACAAGAGUACUUCUGGUACCCGCAGUAUGUAGGGAGCCACCCUUGGAUGAUGCCCGGACUUUCUUUCCUUUUUCUCUCAAUAAUUGGUAUUCUGUGCUACUCUAACGGUGAAGGUACAGUUGCCAUGCGACUUCAAGAGUCCACUUAGAUUUUACCAAUUUCUUUCGGGCACAAUCCAAGAGAUCGUUAAAUCUGGCUCUACAUCUUAUGAAAAAGUUCUUCUUUAUAAGAAAUGUAUUUGCAUAAUUCCACCAGUAAAUUUCUAUAACAAAAAUAUAAUAUUCAAUCUUUUGUUCUAACAAAGUGUUAAUAAGUAGUCGAUAAGUUAAAUCCUUACCUUAAAUUCUUUAAACAUUCUAUCCCUGUCAAGUUCUGGAACUUUUUGCCAGCUGGUCCAGUAGCCGUUGAAAUACUGAAUAAUGCAUAUUCACGCCUUUUGUCCAACUCCAGCAUCCGGCCUAAACCUAUAACACAAGAUCAAACAACAAUUUGAGCAUAAUAAUAUAGUAAUGAAAAAAUGAGUAACGUUAUUAUAUUUAGAAAUCUUACCCUCUCGCAACUGGAACAAGAUAAAUCCUCUCAGAAUCAUCUCUGUCUCCUGGCUGCUUAGUAACUGAUGGUGGAUGCACUAUCGUGUGCGGAUUUGAAGCACCAGAUGGAGUGCCUUCAAGCUAAAGAUCCGAUAACCCAAUAGAUCCAUCUGAAUCAGUACGUGAAGCUGCGUGACUGCUGCAGGAGGGUAUAGAUGAUGGUAGAUGUCUGGAGGGGCCAGCGGCCGUCCGAUAGUAUUGUGCUGGCGGUAGCAUGGUUAUAAGAGCAGAGUGAGUCGAUGUAGACCCAUGUAAUGGCCCCACAUGCGUAGGAGUAGUAUCGAAUCCUCGGACGACCUAGAAUAUGAGGGUCGUGCUGUCGCGUCAAAAAAUCGACCCUCAGAUAUAUGAAUACCUGUCGGUCAUCUAUAAGGCGGAGGUUGUCUUUUCUUUCUAGUUUCGUAGUAUCAACUUUUCCUUUACCUUUGUCACCUUUGCCUGACAUCUAAAUUAUGUUAAGUUAACAAGUAGUUAGUUCCUACAAAAUGAAUGUAUAAGGAAACAUUUCAAGUAUAUAAUUUCAAGUUACUAAUUCACAUUUCAAAUCGCUCCAACAACACGACAUAUGGACAAUUUUUUUUAUUACUAUAUAAAUCAUGGAAAAGUGGAAACAACAAACUUAAAUAGUAUAUUACAUAUCAAUCUUAAACAAGAAACAUAAAAGUAAAUAUAUAGUACAAAACAUAAAGACAUCAAUACAUAAUAAAUACAACCUACACAACUAAUCCUCCUCUUCUGAAGACUCUCCACUAAACCAUUCACCGUCUUCAGAGGUUUUCUCAUCUCCUAUCCCCUCAGCCUCUUCUUUCGCAAUAGUAACUUCUUCAAAUAUAUUUUUUGGGUGAUUCAAACAGUCCACUAAUUCAACAUCCACUAGCUGGUGAUCAAUCUGCAUUUCAUUUUGAUGCGCAGUCUCUAGCACAUUCUCAACUUCCACUCGGCUUAUAAGCUUUGUUUUGAUUAUAGCCCACCAAUCAGACUUGUCAUUGCACAACGAAUAAGGAGAAUAAUACACUUGUUUAGCAUUUUGCAUUAAAAUAAAUGGAUCGUAAAUAGGAUACGAGAUAUUGUGCUUCACUUCAAUGAUGUUAUGCUCCCUAUGUACUCUUGUGCCUCUUGUGCUUGGAUCAAACCACUUACAUCGAAAGAGGAUAAUUUUUUUAUUGGGAAAUCAACAUACUCCAGUUCUAAGAUCUCGUGUAUGAUGCCAAAGUAAUCAACAUCAUCAUCAACCUUAAUCCAAAUACCACUAUUAUUUGUUUUUCUUGUUUUGAAAUGUUGUUCGGUGGAAAAUUUAAACCCAUUUUUGAAAUGUUGUUCGGUGGAAAAUUUAAACCCAUUUACUUUAUAUUGGGAUAUUUCAUUAGCUUCAACUGGACCCAAAGAAAUAUCUCUCAAGAGCUGAUCGUAUGCAGCUGCAUUUGAUGAAUGGUGUACCUAAAAAUAUUAUACAUAUAUAUAUUUUAGUUGAGGAAUGUGUAAAUGUUUAAACUUUGUAGAAAUAUUAAUACACUUACGAACCUUAUUUUUAAACGAUGUUGCAAAGGAUGCAUACACUUGAUUUUCUUGGAAUUGAGGCUUAAAUGAACUGAACAUCCAACAUGGAAAACACAAUUAGUUUUUUAAGGAAAUGAGUAAACAAAUAAGAUAUGUUAAAAUUUUAAUCUCCUUACUUCAAAAAGGGCUCAAUUUCCGGGCAAUUCAGUAUGACAUACAAAGUUGCUGAUUUGCGCUUCGUGGGAGUGAACAGACGAGGUAUGGUCUUUUUAGCCCUGCAAUCAGAUUGAUUGAAAAUUGAUAUCGAUUGCAAAUGAGGCUCAUUCACAUCGUCUUGAUGACGAUUUGAUCUAUUUUUUGAACAAGCAACUUCAUCACGAAAGUAGUAUGAACAAUAUUGAGAAGUUUCUCUCGCAAGAUAUGCCUCAACUAUAGAGCCUUCAACCCUAUGUUUGUUUUUGGGACCCCUUUUCAAUUUUUCAAUUGCCCUGUACAAUCUUAAGGUUGAUGUUUACUAUAUUUAAAAAAGAUAUAUAUGAAUUUAAAUAUGUUGCAAAUGCUUACCGUUCGAAUAGAUACAUCCACCUAAUUUGAACUGAACCGCCUAGCCAAUCUUCGUGCCCAAGGUAAAUGGGAAGAUGUUCCAUCGCAUCGAAGAACGCUGGCGGGAAAAUCUUCUCCAGCUUAUUGGUGAUAACAACAAUAUUACUUUUCAUUCGCGCCAGAUUUUCUUCUUUUAAUGUGGUGGCACAUAAGUCUUUGAAGAACAAACUGAUCUCUGCUAUUGGUUUUCAUAUGUUUUCAAGUAAACCAGUAAAAACAAUUGGAAGUAAUUGUUCCAUGAAAACAUGACAAUCAUGGUUUUUCAUUCCAUGCAAGAUUCCUUGUGUCAUAUCAACCCUCUUUCCCAAAUUUGAGGCAUAUCCAUCGGGUAUCUUCAAACUUUGAACCCACUCAUAUAUUUGACAUUUUUGGUCCAACUUGAAUGUAAAACUAGCCUUGGGCUUAAGAACAUUGUCAUUGGGCCCCUGCUGUAAGUGUAAUUUUCUGCGGUUGCAAUAUUCUGGUAAGUGAAGUCUGGCCUUAGGAUUAUCCUUUGUUUUGCUAGUGACAUCCAUAACUGUGUUGAACAAAUUGUCAAAAUAGUUCUUCUCAGUAUGCAUGCCAUCAACAUUAUUUGGCAGUAAAUUAACUGGUCAAUAUUCUAACUCCCAAAAUAUACUUUGCUUAGUCCAGUUAUGCGAAAUGCCAUAUCCAUCAAGCUUGUACAAUCGUUCCUCGCUGACUUUAGGCAAAUCCUAAAAUAUUUCCCAGAUGUUAUGACCAGACAGCCUUGGAGGUGGACCAUCAUGUUCCCUUCUAUUCCUUCUGAAUGCAUUCUUGAGUCUCCUAAAUUCAUAAUCAGGUGGCAAGAAACAACGAUGACAAUCAAACUAUGAAUUUUUCCUGCCAUGUCUCAAUAUGAAAGAUUUUGUUUUUGCUAUGCAGUAUGGACAAGCCAGUUUUCCAGCUGUCAUCCACCCAAACAAUAUUCCAUAAGCAGGAAAAUCAUUAACAGUCCACAUUAUAUAUGCACGCAGAUUGAAAUUCUAUUUAAGAGAGAUGUCCCAAGUUUCAACCCCCUUAUGCCAUAAAAUUUGAAGUUCAUUAAUCAAAGGUUGCAGGUAAACAUCUAUUCCGCUUUUUGGAUUACGCAGGCCAGGAAUAACAUAAUUUAAAAAUAUAUAAGGACUAGUCAUUAACAGUUCAGGAGAAAGAUUACAAGGAGUGCUAAAUACAGGCCAAUAUGAAUAUGGCGCACCACCAAUUGAAAAAGGAGAGAACCCAUCCGCACAUAAUCCCAAUCGAAUGUUUUGUGGCUCAGUUGGAAAAUCUGGAUAAGUCGCAUCAAAAUGCUUCCAAGCCUCUCCAUCAGAUGGAAGCCACAUAACACCAGUGCGCCUUCUAUUUUCACUGUGCCAUCUCAUAUGAGGAGCUGAGCUGUUUAAAGCAUACAACCUUUUCAACCUUGGUAUAAGAUGUAAAUAAUGCAUCGCCUUAAUAACAAUUUUAUUUCCAGUAGAACCACGUUUAUAUCGAGAGUGCUGACAAAACUUAAAGAACUCUAGCAUAGCAUCUUCCUUAAAGUAUAACAUGCAUCCAUUUUCACUACAAUUAAUUCUAACUGAUGAGAGACCUAACUUUGACACCAAUCUUUUUGCCUUAUAGAAAGAAUCAGGAACCUCCAAGCCGGGAUCAACUAACUCUUUAAUAAGGUUUAUCAUUGAGUCCAUUCCUCCUUCAGCAAUAUUUUAGUCAGAUUUAAUACUUAAUAAUCUAACAGCAACAGACAAACGAGAGUGCGAACACCCAUCAAAUAGAGGACAACUAGCAGCAUGCAAUUCUUUGUAGAAAUUGCCCUCUUCGCUAUUAGGAACAUCUUCAAAAUUUUUCCAAAAGUCAACCUCAUGUUGCAUCCCUAAAUCAUCGUGCACCAUUUCUGUCAUCCUAGUAUCUUGAUAUUUAUUAUUCUCUCCAGACCUACUACUUUCUCUAACAACAAAGUUAUUUUGCGCAACAUCCCCAUGAAUACCAUCGAAUCUUAAAAAGUCAUCGUGAAACCCCUUUCUAUUAAGAUGUUUCUUUACACCUUCUUCACUUACAAGAUUUAUACCAUCACUUCUAACACAAGGACAACGAAUAACCCGAUAAUGUGUCCACAUAUCAAGUGUCUUAGCAUGUUCAACAAAUCUUUUGACACCUUCAACGAAUUCCUCCCUAAUACCCAUUCUAUUAUCAUUUUUCGUUGAUAUAUUCAGCUAUAAUCAGGUUUUAUCUACGCAAUCAAUCAGAUUCAACUAAUUAGAUCAAUUCACAAAAAUUUAACCAUUUUCAAGUAACUAAGUCAUCUACCAAGCCACAUUCAAAACAAAAAAAUCCCCUUUAAAGCCCCCACACUUAACUAUUUUCAACCAACUAAGUAUCAAAACAAAACCACAUUCAAAACACAAAAUUCCCUUCAAAGUCCCUAGACUUAACCAUUUUCAACCAAAUAAAUCACCUACCAAACCACAUUCAAAACAAAAAAAUCCUCUUUCAAGUCCCUAAACUUAAACAUUUUGAAGCAACUAAGUCACCAACCAAACAACGUUCAAAAUAAAAAAUCUCCUUUAAAGUCCCUAAACUUAACCGUUUUCAAGCAACUAAGUCACCUACCAAACCAAUUCAAAAACAAAAAAAACCCUUUAAAGUCCCUACACUCAACUAUUUUCAACCAACUAAGUGUCAAAACAAAACCAUAUUCAAAAUUAAAAAAUCCCCUUUUAAGUUCCUAAACUUAGCCAUAUUCAAGUGACUAAGUCACCUACCAAACCACAUUCAAAAUAAAAAAUCCCCUUUAAAAUCUCUACAUUUAACCAUUUUCAAUCAACUAAGUAUCAAAACAAAACCACAUUCAAAACACAAAAUCUCCUUCAAAGUCCCUAGACUUAACCAUUUUUAACCAACUAAGUCACCUACCAAACCACAUUCAAAACAAAAAAAUUCCCUUUAAAGUUCUCAAACUUAACCAUAUUCAAGUGACUAAGUCACCUAACAAACCACAUUCAAAAUAAAAAAAUCUCCUUUAAAUUCUCUACACUUAACCAUUUUCAAUCAACUAAGUAUCAAAACAAAACCACAUUCAAAACACAAAAUCCCCUUCAAAGUCCCUAGACUUAACCAUUUUUAACCAACUAAGUCACCUACCAAACCACAUUCAAAAUUAAAAAAUCCUCUUUAAAGUCCCUAAACUUAACCAUUUUAAAGCAACUAAGUCACUUAUCAAACUACAUUCAAAAUAAAAAAAUCCCCUUUAAAGUCUCUAAACUUAACCAUUUUCAAGCAACUAAGUUACCUACCAAACCACAUUCAAAAUAAAAAAAUCCCCUUUGAAGUCCCUACACUUAACCAUUUUCAAGAACUAAGUAUCAAAACAAAACCACAUUCAAAAUAAAAAAAAUCUCUUUUAAAGUUCCUAAACUUAAUCAUAUUCAAGUGACUAAGUCACCUACCAAACCAUAUUCAAAACAAAAAAAUCUCCUUUAAAGUCCCUACACUUAACCAUUUUCAACCAACUAAGUAUCAAAGCAAAACCACAUUCAAAACAAAAAAAAUCCCCUUUAAAGUUCCUAAACUUAACCAUAUUCAAGUGACUAAGUCACCUACCAAACCACAUUCAAAAUCAAAAAUUCCCUUUAAAGUCCCUACACUUAACCAUUUUCAACCAACUAAGUAUCAAAACAAAAUCAAAUUCAAAACACAAAAUCCCCUAAAAAGUUUCUAGACUUAACCAUUUUCAACCAACUAAGUCACCUACCAAACCUCAUUCAAAACAAAAAAAUCUCCUUUAAAGUCCCUAAACUUAACAAACCACAUUCAAAACAAAAAUCCUCCUUUAAAGUCCCUACACUUAACCAUUUUCAACCAACUAAGUAUCAAAACAAAACCACAUUCAAAAUAAAAAAAUUCCCUUUAAAGUUUCUAAACUUAACCAUAUUCAAGUGACUAAGUCACCUACCAAACCACAUUCAAAACAAAAAAAUCUCCUUUAAAGUUCCUACACUUAACCAUAUUCAAGUGACUAAGUCACUUACCAAACCACAUUCAAAUCCCUACACUUAACCAUUUUCAAACAACUAAGUAUCAAAACAAAACCAAAUUCAAAACACAAAAUCCCUUAAAAAGUUCCUAGACUUAACCAUUUUCAACCAACUAAGUCACCUACCAAACCACAUUCAAAACAAAAAAAUCUCCUUUAAAGUCCCUACACUUAACCAUUUUCUACCAACUAAGUAUCAAAACAAAACCAUAUUCAAAAUAAAAAAAUUUCCUUUAAAGUUCCUACACUUAACCAUAUUCAGUGACUAAGUCACCAAACAAACGACAUUCAAAACAAAAAAAUCCCCUUUAAAGUUCCUACACUUAACCAUAUUCAAGUGACGAAGUCACCAAACAAAUGACAUUUAAAACAAAAAAAUUCCCUUUAAAGUCCCUACACUUAACCAUUUUCAACCAACUAAGUCACCUACCAAACCACAUUCAAAAUAAAAGAAUUUCCUUUAAAGUUUCUACACUUAACCAUUUUCAAGUGACUAAGUAUCAAAAUAAAACCACAUUCAAGAAACAAGCAACAACAACACCUACAAGAUAUCAACAACAAUGCUAGUGAAUCGAAUAAGGCCACACACGACUUCACUAGACUUCAAUAUAAAAAAUAACGAGAAGAUAACAACAACGCUAUUGAAUCGAAAAAGGUCACACACGGCUUCACUAGACUUCAAUAUGAACAAUAACAAGAAGAUAACAACAAUAGUGAAUCGAGAGAAAUUAACUUACCUUUGCUUGGCCUAAAUUAAAGUGAAAGAGAUAAUCGGUCACCAAAUCAAGAACCUAAAAAAAUCAAGACAAAAUAUUCCAACUUUGAGUGAUUUAGCAAAACUCAUAUAAAAAAUAACAAGCUAAAGUGUGCUUUAAAGACAAUAAGUUAAACCCUCAUAAAAAACAACAAGCUAAACCAUAAAAUCCAUUCAAGAAUCUUACAAAAUCACAAUUAAAGAUUCCAACUUUGAGGAUUUAUACAAUCAAUAACUUCAAUCAAGCAAAAUUCAUAUCUAAAACAAGAAGCUAAACAAGCAAAACUAGUUCAAACAAUUAUGUGUAUAGCUCAAAAAUUUCGCAAAUAACUAAACAAAAUUCGACUAGUUCAAACUAACCUAAUCUUCACCAUUAUAAAUUUCACAAUUAUAUAAAUUAGUACACCUAUAAAUCAACCUCAAAAAGCAUAAAUUUCACAAAAUACAAUAAAAUUCCUACCUGAGCUGAGCUGUGGCCGGAGCACUCGCCGGAGAAGUGGGUUUUCCAAUUGGAAAAAUUAAUUUGGGUGUGUUUAGGGUAUUUUUGUGUGUGUGAGUGAUUUGUGUAUGUGUGUUUGUGUGUUUAGGUCGACUUUAGGAAAUAUUUUAGGUCGGAUCGGGUCAGGUCAUGUGGGGGUGGGGUCGGGUAGGAGUUAUAUAAUUAGAUUAUUUUUUUUAUUAUUUUGUUGAAAACCAACCAAUUAUUGUUGGUUUUCUGGAUAUUAUUAUAAAAACCGACCACAUGUGGUCGGUUUUUAACAAAAUAAUAAUAAAAAUAUUUUAAUUACUACAAUUAAUAAAUUAAAAUUAAUUUUAAUAAAUUAAUUUUUUAAUAAAUUCUAUAAUAUUUAUAACAAUAACACCAGUAGUAUAUUUCUUCAAUCGUAUAAUAAUAUUAACAAAUAAAGCAAUUUAUAAUAAAUUUUUAGUUAAUUAGCUUUUAUUUAUGAUAUUAUAUAUAUAUGUAUACAUAUAUAUAUAUAUAAUAUCAUAAUUAAAUGCUAAUUAGUAAAAAAUUUAUCGUAAAUUGCAAAAUUCAUUGAUAUAUAUGUAUAUACCUCUUAAUAGAAUAUGUUAAUCAAAUAAAUUAUUGAUUACUUGUCUUACGUUAUUACAACUUCAACAAUAUACGCGUAUCUAUAUAUUGAUACUAAAUAGUAGAGAAAAGACAUCAAAUACCCACUAAAGUUCUCCUGAAUUUGCAAGUAGACACUUAAACUUUGUAAAUGUCCUAUUACCCCAUUAAAUAAUUUAAAAGUGGAAUAAAUGUCAUUUUUUGGCCAACAUCAGUUGCAAGACAAAAGAGUGCAAUCACGCACCAAUUACAAUUUGCCAUGUGUUAAAUAUUUAUUUUUUAUUUUCAUUUAUAUUUUUCUUAUUUUAUUAACUCUAAUUCUUUUUUACUUUUUACUCUAAUUCUAAUUCUUUUUUAUUUUUUCUCUUCCAUCUUAUCUUGCUCAUAUAUACUUCAAUCCAAAGAGAGAAGCGACAUUUGCAGGACACAGAUGGUAGGAGGAAACAACCUCAUGAUUCAGAUAACAGGAGAAAACAUUCCUGUUUUAGAAGAUAAGAGGAAGCAUACACGCGAUUCAGAUGACAGGAGGAAACAUAAGAAAGACAAGUAGAAGAGAAGAAGACAUGAUUCUGAUUCAGAUUAAACUUGUAUAAUCCUUGUACUUAUUGUAUGCUUGCUAAUUCAUAUUAAACUUGAU